ACACAUUGAAGGAGAACCAGUGAUAGACUAUGAGAAUACUGAACCAUGGUUCACACCGUAUGGAUGCAAAACUGAGCAUAAUUACUAUGAAAACAAAGUGAUGCUAAAUUCAUGAGACCAAAUAUUCUGAAUUAACAUACAUUUAGCCCAUUGAUAUGACAAACACAAACCAAAGACCAAUUAAUUUCCAGUAAUCAAUUAAAACAUCCAAGUCCUUAAAUAUUACAAGUUUCAUCUAAAGUACCAUUGAACCUCUAACAUCCAAGCUAGACAAACCCAACACCUAAUACCAAAUGCAUAUGACUGGGACAUCCAAAGCAAGCUAGACUGAAUCAGGGAAGGAAUAUGGCAAAUGCAGCAACAAUCACAAUAAAAAAUACUGCGUUUCAUUCAAAACAUAUAGUUCAUAAACCUUUACACAAGACUCAACAAUCAAGCUCAAUUUCCAACCAUAGUUUCAGAAAGGGAACCUGUAGAUGGAAAGAAACAGAAGGUGAAGUCUCAGAAGUAACAAUAGUAUUAGGCAUCGGCAGAGAUGAACAAGAGAACCAGCUUUAAACAAAGGAAUGAUAUGCAACAAUCAACCAAAAUCAACCUCAACUUCAAACCAAACCUUUUUUUAAGAAAACACAAUACAUUUUGGAUCCCAGAUAAAUUGGAAGAUGUUUCAGAAUUCGAAAACUUCAAAACAUCACCAAAGAAAGCCAAUGGAACAAUGUUUCACUAGAAUUUUUUCAGCCAUUUGUUUUAUUUCUGGAUUUUCUCUCUUAUGGUAUCUCUAGCUCUCUAAGUUCUCUAAAGUCUAAAAAUAUAUGCUCUCG
RNAcentral lists this long non-coding RNA (821 nucleotides) under Nicotiana benthamiana. RNAcentral describes it as "long non-coding RNA (NBEN_LNC039497)". The record is from RNAcentral. Lineage: Eukaryota; Viridiplantae; Streptophyta; Magnoliopsida; Solanales; Solanaceae.